GCGAGAGUAGUUCAGUUGGUAGAAUGUCUCCUUCCCAAGGAGAAGGUCGCGGGUUCGAGCCCCGUCUCUCGCU
Molecule: transfer RNA, 73 nt
Filed under: Candidatus Dojkabacteria bacterium
Lineage: Bacteria
Description: tRNA-Gly
Rfam family: tRNA
About the family: Transfer RNA (tRNA) molecules are approximately 80 nucleotides in length.
Source: RNAcentral